GCCCACCACAGAUCCGCAUAUCCCUUUAAUUAAGCAGUACACCGUGUUUGGUAUUUUCAAAUCUAUUCCGUUAUGAUCGAUAUAUACGUUUUACUUAAUUGAUAGUACAUAUAGACGAUAUUUCAUUAACAAAUAGGCACGUGCACGUAAACACUGAUAUUACUAAAUAAUAACACCAUCCUUUUGGCUAGAAAGACAUCAACCAUCAAUCUUUAGAUUUUUAAACCUUCACCCUAGCCACACAAACACAUACACACAUAGUCGAUGCCUAAUGCAAAAGUUCUGUUCUGUUCAUACUAACGUAACAAAAUUCAAGAAAUUCGUAUUUCUUUAUAUCCC
RNAcentral lists this long non-coding RNA (339 nucleotides) under Mytilus galloprovincialis (Mediterranean mussel). The record is from RNAcentral. Lineage: Eukaryota; Metazoa; Mollusca; Bivalvia; Mytilida; Mytilidae.